GAUGAACGCUGGCGGCGUGCCUAAUACAUGCAAGUCGAGCGACCAGACGGGGAGCUUGCUCCUCUGCGGUUAGCGGCGGACGGGUGAGUAACACGUAGAUCACCUACUUCUUUGUCUGGGAUAACUUCGGGGAACCGCAGAUACUACCGGAUCAUAUAUUCUACCGCAUGGUUCAAUAGUUAAAGACGGUUUUGCUGUCUCUUAUAGCUGGUUCCGCGCCGCAUUAGCUAGUUGGUAAGGUAACGGCUUACCAAGGCUACGAUGCGUAGCCGACCUGAGAGGGUGAUCGGCCACACUGGAACUGAGACACGGUCCAGACUCCUACGGGAGGCAGCAGUGGGGAAUCUUGGGCAAUGGGCGAAAGCCUGACGGAGCAACGCCGCGUGGGUGAAGAAGGUCUUCGGAUUGUAAAGCUCUGUUAUUAGGAAAGAAAAGAUGUAGAAUAAAAUAUCCACGUUUUGACGGUACCUAAACAGAAAGCCACGGCUAACUACGUG
This 497-nucleotide ribosomal RNA is filed under the name uncultured bacterium. RNAcentral describes it as "partial 16S ribosomal RNA". It matches the Rfam family "Bacterial small subunit ribosomal RNA", at positions 28 to 507 of the family's 1533-position model. The record is from RNAcentral.